This 383-nucleotide long non-coding RNA is filed under the name Pelobates cultripes (western spadefoot toad). Lineage: Eukaryota; Metazoa; Chordata; Amphibia; Anura; Pelobatidae. The record is from RNAcentral.
AUUGGACGCCAAAAGAGCUGAUGAGUUUACCAAGGGAGGCAGUAUAGAUAGAGAACAGUAGGGGGCCGAGGACAGAACCUUGGGGGAUGCCGACAGGGAGGGGUUGGGGAGAAGAGGCAGAGCCAGAGAAAGAAACACUGAAGGAGCGCUGGGAGAGGUAGGAGGAGCACCAGGAGAGAGCAGAAUCUCGUAGACCAAAGUUACGAGAAUGUGAAGAAGCUGUUGAUGAUCAACAGUGUCAAAGGCGGCAGAAAGAUCAAGGAGGAUUAGGAUAGAGUAUUGGCCGCGAGAUUUAGCAGCAAUUAAAUCGUUGGAUACUUUGGUCACAGCAGUUUCGACAGAGUGACCAGCGCGGAAUCCAGACUGAAGGGGGUCAAGCAGAG